AUUUAAGUUGCGUAAGCACACUGGAGGAUUCGCCUAGUGGCCUAUGGCGCACGCUUGGAAAGCGUGUUGGUGUAACAGCCUCGCG
RNAcentral lists this transfer RNA (85 nucleotides) under Bifidobacterium animalis subsp. lactis Bl12. RNAcentral describes it as "tRNA-Ser". The record is from RNAcentral. Lineage: Bacteria; Bacillati; Actinomycetota; Actinomycetes; Bifidobacteriales; Bifidobacteriaceae.